UACAGAGGGUGCAAGCGUUGUUCGGAAUCAUUGGGCGUAAAGCGCACGUAGGCGGUCUGCUAAGUCGGGUGUGAAAGCCCCAGGCUCAACCUGGGAAGUGCAUUCGAAACUGGCGGACUUGAAUGUCGGAGAGGGUGGUGGAAUUCCGAGUGUAGAGGUGAAAUUCGUAGAUAUUCGGAGGAACACCAGUGGCGAAGGCGACCACCUGGACGAACAUUGACGCUGAGGUGCGAAAGCGUGGGGAGCAAACAGG
This 253-nucleotide ribosomal RNA is filed under the name uncultured bacterium. RNAcentral's name for it is "partial 16S ribosomal RNA". It matches the Rfam family "Bacterial small subunit ribosomal RNA", at positions 524 to 776 of the family's 1533-position model. The record is from RNAcentral.